AAGACCUUGCGCUUUUGGAGCGGCCGAUGUCUGAUUAGCUUGUUGGUGAGGUAAAGGCUUACCAAGGCUUCGAUCAGUAGCUGGUCUGAGAGGACGGCCAGCCACACUGGGACUGAGACACGGCCCAGACUCCUACGGGAGGCAGCAGUGGGGAAUUUUGGACAAUGGGGGCAACCCUGAUCCAGCCAUGCCGCGUGAGUGAAGAAGGCCUUCGGGUUGUAAAGCUCUUUCAGCCGGAACGAAACGGUUACGGUUAAUACCCGUGACUACUGACGGUACCGGAAGAAGAAGUACCGGCUAACUACGUGCCAGCAGCCGCGGUAAUACGUAGGGUGCAAGCGUUAAUCGGAAUUACUGGGCGUAAAGCGUGCGCAGGUGGUUUUGUAAGUCAGAUGUGAAAUCCCCGGGCUUAACCUGGGAACU
Molecule: ribosomal RNA, 423 nt
Filed under: uncultured bacterium
Lineage: Bacteria
Description: bacterial SSU rRNA
Rfam family: Bacterial small subunit ribosomal RNA
Source: RNAcentral